Molecule: long non-coding RNA, 1289 nt
Organism: Symphalangus syndactylus (siamang)
Lineage: Eukaryota; Metazoa; Chordata; Mammalia; Primates; Hylobatidae
Source: RefSeq, a predicted model, not a curated record
UGCUCCCCGGCCGGGCCACGGGCCGAGCGGCUCCUGGGCGCCUGCGGGAGGAGCCCCCGGCCCGGCCGCUGCCCCCGCUCGCGUUCCAGUUGCUUUCUUAUGAUUAUUUUUUCUACAGCUGCAGCAGAGGAAGGUCCUGGGCUUUUGUGUGAGCCCGCGCGCCGCCCUUCUCUCCGGGAGCGAAUGGGAACCGCGCGCGGGCAGCUCCGUGCUGUGUCUAGGGAGCGCCUUAGCGCGCCAUCCCCGUUUAGCCUGGCAGCCUCCCUGUAGAGGCAACAACCGUUAGCUCCUUCGUUAGGGUCUGGAGGGACACUGAGGCCCAGCCCCAGGAGGUAGAGGUUGCUUUUCUCUCUAUACAGUUGAGGAAGCAGGUUCAGAGAGGCUGAGGAACUGGACCAGCUUGCACAUUAUAACUGUCUCAAAACAGUCAAGCCCCACCCCGGUCAUCUGCCUCUGACUGAACACACCCCGCACACUGCACAGGGCCUGCCGUAGCCUGGUUCCAGAACCCAAGCAGCGAGAAACCGUAGACGAGGUGCACGUUUCACAGUGAAUGAAGGAACUGGGGCUGACACCCUGGUGGACAGCCCUGUGGUUUGCUGAAGGGUGUCUAAUGGUUCUGAGACUAAGGUUCGAAAUCUCUGAAAGCACCUCUAAACAAAACGUUAAUUAUGGUGUUUUUGCAAUUCGACUUUGCCCUUCAUCCUCAGCCUUCCUUCCUCGAUGCUGCCUGCCCUGGUUUUCUGUGGAAGAUUCCUUUUUUUUUUUUUUUUUUUUGAGAUGGAGUCUUGCUCUGUCACCCAGGCUAGAGUGCAGUGGCGCGGUCUCAGCUCACUGCAGCGUCUGCCUCCUGGGUUAAAGCAGUUUCCCUGCCUCAGCCUCCCGAGUAGCUGGGAUUACAGGUGUCUGCCACCACACCUGGCUAAUUUUUGUAUUUUUAGUGGAGACGGGGUUUCACCAUCUUGGCCAGGCUGGUCCCGAACUCCUGACCUUGUGAUCCACCCGCCUCGGCCUCCCAAAGUGCUGGGAUUACAGGCGUGAGCCACCGUGCCCGGCCUUUAUGGAAGAUUUCAUUAAGAAAACAGGUAAUAGGCAGGGCUAAAGAGUUGCAUGUGCUUGGGGAGGGGAAGCUACAGAGGCUGGUAAUUUCUGAUUUCUGUGUAAAUUGUCCCAAGAGCUGACCUCAUACUUGUAAGCACAGCACCUCCCAGGAUGAGUGAGAAGGGCAGGGUUGUCAAUUAGAGGAAACUUAAUUUAAUUGUAUCACUCUAGUUCAAAGCCCUCAUUUA